Long non-coding RNA from Mesocricetus auratus (golden hamster), 2163 nucleotides. RefSeq annotates it as chromosome unknown C12orf75 homolog. The record is from RefSeq and is a predicted model, not a curated record. NCBI's taxonomy places the organism in Eukaryota, Metazoa, Chordata, Mammalia, Rodentia, Cricetidae. The transcript has 5 exons.
GCCGCCUCCGUCCGGGUCUCCGCCUCCGGGACCUGCGGCGGUGGUGAGGUCCAGAGCACGGCUUCCCCGCGGGCGGGCGGCGUGAUGGGUUGCGGGAACUCCACUGCCACCAGCGGGGGCGCGGGCCGAGGUGCAACAGGAGCAGUUAAAGAUGCGACGGAAGACUCCAUAACAGACGACGACAAGAGGAGGUAUGUGUGCUGUCUGCAGCUGGUGUCACAAACUAUGGAGGAGUGUAUGUUGGCCUGCCCUCUGAAGCUGCCAGUAUGGUGUCUAGUCAAGCAAAGGCAGUACGAAAGACUUGCUCAUGAAUUUGGAAGGAAUUUGGCUCCAGGAACCUUGUGUCUUCAAACUAAUUCUGAAAGGUUGUCCCCUGCUGUGCCACCACUCCCAAAUCCUAACUGUGUAGUCAAAGCCAUGGGUACAUACUGAAUGUUGUGGCCACCGAAGGAAAUGGGUGAGACUUCGUGCUCACUGGGGGACUGUGUGUGCCCACCAGUGAGAGAGCCCUGAAGGCUGCUGCUACCCAGCCUGGGCCACCAGGAUUCAUAGCAGUUUCCAUCCUGGCCAUUCAACACAGUUCACAAAAUUCAUGUCUUUUCACUGACACUCUUUUGAUAGUUUUUAUAUAAUGCAAUCCUUGUAUUUAUAACAUGACAUUAGGGACAUAUAAAGGAAUUACCUGAAGUACUAUAUUGCCUCUUGUCCCUUGAUGUUUCUACUUCGUUAUUUUGUAGCUGUAAAGUUGGUAAAUGGAGUCCUACACUUAGCUCCCUUUCUUACUACUUGGUUUAAAAUUUUUAUUUAAAUGUAAGGGAAUUCCCUCUGUUGAGAGCACUGCAGUAUUUGAAAAUGAACUGUUUAAAUUUGCAUGCUGUCCUCACAUGGGUAUUAAUUCCUGUUCUCUUUAGUCAGAGGCUUACAUGGCCACAGAUUCUCCAGCUGCCCAGCUGCCUGUUCUCCUUCAUAUAAUCAGCAUUUCAUCGUGUUCAUUCCGUACUGUCUCUUAGGGCUGGCGGGUGAUGCUUGGCAGGAUGGCUACCUGGAAAGUUCUUAAUUUGCUAACAACAUGUGUACCUACUUAUGACUGUGGCGUAAGUGGCUCAGUUCACCAAUGUAUUUCCGCAAUUAAACAUUUUUAUCCCCCUUACCUGGAUUUCUUAAGUAUUUUCAAGAGAACACUUUUAAAGAAGUCACAUUUGGUAUUAUCAUGUGUAAAUACCAUGCAUCAAUAUGUGCAGAUAGCACUGUUUAAAUAGGUACCUAUGAGAAGUGGGAUUUUUUUUUCCUGCUAAGAGAAAGGCUCUGUCUUCUAUAUUUUGUUGAUAAUGAUAGUUGUAGAGCCAUCAUCACAUUGCAAGACAAAAAAGUAAACCUUACUAAGAGCUUAUGAGGCAUAUAUUCCUCUGAAUGUCCACAAGCUCACCAUGGCACUCAGGGGACAUCAAUGCUUAUAAUUAUAGCCCUGAGAAGCCUGAGGCAGGAGAGUCCGUGGUUCAAGGCAGCUGGCUACACAGUGAGUCUGAGACCAGAAUGAACUACAUGAGACCCUAUCACAAAACUUUUUAAAUUGAAAAGCAACAAAUAGCAAAUACACUGACUUUGGAAAAGUUAAUUUACAGAUAGCUUUAGAUUAAUAGCGGGAUAUAUGGAAGGAGUGGGAAUCAGUUCCAUUCUGACUGAACUCCUCUAGUUUUCCUGUGCCUUUUUUGUUGUUGCUCUAAUCCUGGAUUACAGUAUAUCCCAGUUAAAUUGAUCUACUUAGUUUCCUCUGCUUCCUGGUGACAUCUCCCUCAGCUUUUCCGUGUUUUUCAUGACCAUGAGCCCUUUGAUGCCUACUGUACAGGAAUUUUGGAAUGCACCCUUAUGUGAAGCCUCUCUGCGCUCUAAUAUUGGACUGGGACCACAGGCCUUGAGGGAGACCCCCACUGAGACGGAGUGGCCUCUCUCAUCACAUCACAUCCUGACAUCCGAGGGCCCCAGCUCAUUACUGGUGACACUCACCUUGAAAGGGUCUCAGCUCUCUCCACCAUAGUUCCUAGUUUCCCUUCUCUGAUCACUCUACCCCAAUGGUUCUCAACCUUCCUGAUGCUGCGGCCCUUUAAUUCAGUCCCUCAAUUUGUGAUGACCAUCAACUAUAAAAUUACUUUCACUGCUACUUCA